CCUUAUUGCUCACUCGAGCUGUCUCUCCCGUACACACAUCCUGCUCGCGCGCGGAAGCUGCUGGGAACAUGGCUGGUGAUUUAACUCUGCUCGCCGCUGUCUCUCUUCUUUCCGCCUUCCAGCAAUGUCAUUUUGCUUGGCUGGUGGGGAAAUCGAGAAUGAAGCACAAGGUCAUGCCCCCAGCUGUCACUGGACCUCCAGAAUUUGACAGAACAUUUCGUGCACAACAAAACUGUGUGGAGUUUUACCCAAUAUUCCUGACUGUCCUCUGGACUGCGGGGUGGUUUUUUAAUCAAGAAGUAGCUUCCUUCCUGGGUGUGUUGUACGUGUUUGCCCGCUACAAGUACUUCCAUGGCUACGCGCAGUCCGUGAAAGGAAGGUUAACAGGUUUUUACUUGAAUCUGAUAAUUCUAACUUGCUUGAUAACCCUGGGUGCAGCUGGGAUUGUUAACAGCUUUCUGGAUGAAUACCUGGACUUCCGCAUUAUGAAGAAACUACGUAAAAUGUUCUGAAGACUGUUUUGUUUUCUUAAAUAAAUAACAUGGAUGCUUUUGCUGAAUACCAAAAAGACAAGCCGCAUGCGAAUAAAGCAUCAGAGCUCUGCUAACAGCCCGCUGCGAUGCAAAA
Calidris pugnax (ruff) is the source of this 627-nucleotide RNA transcript. It is a transcript of the gene named microsomal glutathione S-transferase 2, with no coding region annotated. NCBI's taxonomy places the organism in Eukaryota, Metazoa, Chordata, Aves, Charadriiformes, Scolopacidae. The record is from RefSeq and is a predicted model, not a curated record. The transcript is spliced from 6 exons.